This 171-nucleotide ribosomal RNA is filed under the name Phyllium bourquei. RNAcentral's name for it is "partial large subunit ribosomal RNA". The record is from RNAcentral. Lineage: Eukaryota; Metazoa; Arthropoda; Insecta; Phasmatodea; Phylliidae.
UAGAAACGUCGCGACCCGUUGGGUGCCGGCCAAAGGCCUGGGAAGGAAGCCCGCGCGUCCUGUGGUGGUUGCCACAGGCGAGCGGACUCCCGGUGACCCGGCCGGCUGCCCGACGGUAUGACCAGAGGAGCCGAUCCGCUGAAUGGGAAACACUGUGGUUUGUGAAGCGUG